This 74-nucleotide transfer RNA is filed under the name Terribacillus aidingensis. RNAcentral's name for it is "tRNA_Pro_TGG". It matches the Rfam family "tRNA". Rfam says of the family: Transfer RNA (tRNA) molecules are approximately 80 nucleotides in length. The record is from RNAcentral. Lineage: Bacteria; Bacillati; Bacillota; Bacilli; Caryophanales; Bacillaceae.
CGGGAAGUAGCUCAGCUUGGUAGAGCACUUGGUUUGGGUCCAAGGGGUCGCAGGUUCGAAUCCUGUCUUCCCGA